This 361-nucleotide ribosomal RNA is filed under the name Mocosoa crebripunctata. RNAcentral describes it as "partial 12S ribosomal RNA". The record is from RNAcentral. Lineage: Eukaryota; Metazoa; Arthropoda; Malacostraca; Decapoda; Epialtidae.
UAUUAUACUAAAAUGUAAUAAUAAUGCUUGAUUAAUGUGAGUUAUAUUCUUUAAAUUUGAAGAAUUUGGCGGUAAUUUAGUCUUUCCAGAGGAACCUGUUUUAUAAUCGAUAAACCACGAAGAAUCUUACUUACUUUAUAAAUUAAAGCUUGUAUACCGUCAUUAUCAGAUAAUAUUUAAAGAUUUAUUAUUAAAUUAUAAAAAGUAAAUGAAAUUAGAUCAAGGUGCAGCUUAUAGGUAAGUUAAUAUGGGUUACAAUUAAGUUAAUAUAAAUAUGAAAUAUAAUUUGAAACAAUUAAAGGAAGGAGGAUUUGGUUGUAAUAUAAAUUAAUAAGAUAUAAAGAUAUAAGCUCUAAAUUAU